UGCAUGGUAGCUCAACUGGUAGAGCAUUCUGUUGAUAACGGAACGGUUGCAGGUUCGAUUCCUGCCUAUGCAA
RNAcentral lists this transfer RNA (73 nucleotides) under Candidatus Obscuribacterales bacterium. RNAcentral describes it as "tRNA-Ile". It matches the Rfam family "tRNA". Rfam says of the family: Transfer RNA (tRNA) molecules are approximately 80 nucleotides in length. Their secondary structure includes four short double-helical elements and three loops (D, anti-codon, and T loops). Further hydrogen bonds mediate the characteristic L-shaped molecular structure. tRNAs have two regions of fundamental functional importance: the anti-codon, which is responsible for specific mRNA codon recognition, and the 3' end, to which the tRNAs corresponding amino acid is attached (by aminoacyl-tRNA synthetases). tRNAs cope with the degeneracy of the genetic code in two manners: having more than one tRNA (with a specific anti-codon) for a particular amino acid; and 'wobble' base-pairing, i.e. permitting non-standard base-pairing at the 3rd anti-codon position. Lineage: Bacteria; Bacillati; Candidatus Melainabacteria; Candidatus Obscuribacterales. The record is from RNAcentral.